GAUGAACGCUGGCGGCGUGCCUAAUACAUGCAAGUCGAGCGAACAGAUGAGGAGCUUGCUCCUCUGACGUUGGCGGCGGACGGGUGAGUAACACGUGGAUAACCUACCUAUAAGACUGGGAUAACUUCGGGAAACCGGCGCUAAUACCGGAUAAUAUAUUGAACCGCAUGGUUCAAUAGUGAAAGACGGUUUUGCUGUCACUUAUAGAUGGAUCCGCGCCGCUUUAGCUAGUUGGUAAGGUAACGGCUUACCAAGGCAACGAUGCGUAGCCGACCUGAGAGGGGGAUCGGCGACACGAGAACUGAGACACGGACCAGACUCCUAAGGGAGGCAGCAGUCGGGAAUGUUACGCAAUAGGCGAAAGCCUGACGGAGCAACGCCGCGUGAGUGAUGAAGGUCUUCGGAUCGUAAAACUCUGUUAUUAGGGAAGAACAAAUGUGUAAGUAACUAUGCACGUCUUGACGGUACCGAAUCAGAAAGCCACGGCUAACUACGUG
RNAcentral lists this ribosomal RNA (497 nucleotides) under uncultured bacterium. Its description in RNAcentral is "partial 16S ribosomal RNA". It matches the Rfam family "Bacterial small subunit ribosomal RNA", at positions 28 to 507 of the family's 1533-position model. The record is from RNAcentral.